UCCUACGGGAGGCAGCAGUGAGGAAUAUUGGUCAAUGGGCUUACGCCUGAACCAGCCAAGUCGCGUGAGGGAAGACUGCCCUAUGGGUUGUAAACCUCUUUUGUCAGGGAGCAACGCCGGCUACGUGUAGCCGGACUGAGAGUACCUGAAGAAAAAGCAUCGGCUAACUCCGUGCCAGCAGCCGCGGUAAUACGGAGGAUGCGAGCGUUAUCCGGAUUUAUUGGGUUUAAAGGGUGCGUAGGCGGAAUGCCAAGUCAGCGGUAAAAUCGCGGGGCUCAACCUCGCACCGCCGUUGAAACUGGCGU
RNAcentral lists this ribosomal RNA (305 nucleotides) under uncultured bacterium. RNAcentral describes it as "bacterial SSU rRNA". It matches the Rfam family "Bacterial small subunit ribosomal RNA", at positions 337 to 639 of the family's 1533-position model. The record is from RNAcentral.